UACGUAGGAGGCAAGCGUUGUCCGGAAUCACUGGGCUUAAAGCGUGUGUAGGCGGGUCGUUAAGUGUCUUGUGAAAUCCCACCGCUCAACGGUGGAACUGCUGGGCAUACUGGCGAUCUUGAGCCACCUAGGGGCAGACGGAACAAGCGGUGGAGCGGUGAAAUGCGUAGAUAUCGCUUGGAACGCCGACGGUGAAAACAGUCUGCUGGGGGUGUGCUGACGCUGAGACACGAAAGCCAGGGGAGCGAACGGG
Molecule: ribosomal RNA, 253 nt
Filed under: uncultured bacterium
Lineage: Bacteria
Description: partial 16S ribosomal RNA
Rfam family: Bacterial small subunit ribosomal RNA
Source: RNAcentral